This is a long non-coding RNA of Corvus hawaiiensis (hawaiian crow), 6796 nucleotides long. RefSeq lists it as uncharacterized. The transcript is spliced from 2 exons. The record is from RefSeq and is a predicted model, not a curated record. Lineage: Eukaryota; Metazoa; Chordata; Aves; Passeriformes; Corvidae.
AAAGAAGUAUAUUUAAAAUUUCCAGAACUGCCGCAGAGUGGUAUUUUGGAAAUAGAUGACCACAGAAGAACGUUAAUGAUAAUGAUGAAGUGGCACAAAGGAAGAAUGAAGGAGUUACGGAUGCUUCAUUGGGAAAUCAGAUUUUUUUUAAAAAAGAGAAAAAGCCUGUAGGAGUGGUGCCAUGAAAGACUCAGGACAAGUCCUUAGAAGUCCAACAUGAGCUAUCACAAAGACUGCACAAUAUGAAGAAAGACUCACCAUGGCCAACACAAAAGAAAUGAAACUAAUUCAAAAAUGGACAUUUGUAUUAAAAAGACAAUCACCUCAGAAUUUAUUUCCAAAAGAAUCUGCAUAUUGUGUGGCAAAAGCCAGAAUUUGGGAGGGUGUCUGAGACAGAAAGGACUGCACUGAACUUUAUCCCUGGCAAGAGACAAAGAAAGGUGCUUAGAAAGGACAAAGUGUCCAGUGCUGCUUGCUCAGGUAAAAUAUUCAAAAAGCAGUGCUUGGCCAUACAAGACUGUCAGGCUGCAAAUGGGACAGCUUUUCUUUUUAACAUCUCGCACACCUUUUAAAGACAGCACAGUCCUGAGGAUGCUGACAAUACUAAGUAAGUCAGCAACAGGCAGGUGGCUAAGGUGAAACUGAUGUUUUGCAAAGAUGGGUUUGGUCCAUCUCAUGGAGUAUGUCAAUUAAAUACAAGUGUGUAGGAAAAUUUCAUUUUGGAAAAGAUGCAGUUUGUAACAGUGGAAGUGAAAAAAGUAAAUCCAUUUUUUUAGCUAAAGAGUCGCAGAACUUGUUAAAGGACGGAAACCAUGAAAAAUUGUGGAAAUACUGAGAUUGAAUUUACAAGAACAGGACAGCUACUUCAGACACCUCCUAGAAACACAAAUCUGGCCUGCAUAGGUUGAGGAGGAGCAGAAAGUGCCUGUGCUUUGGCAGAGUCAUCAGAGGAACCAGGAGGGAUUCUCACUGCUCAUUUAAAAGCCCAGAGGUGAGAUGGAGUGAUGUAGAACCGGAAAACUGUACCUGCAGAUCCAAAGGAUUGAACUGAGUACUUAUAACAUGGAUCUCUUUCUAGUAAAGUGUUUAAUGCCAAUAAAUUUGUUGUGCUGGAUGUUUCAUUAGGGCUCUGAUAAGCAGUAACACAUCUGCAGGUAUUGUUUUCAAGUCUGCAUUGGAAAUGCUGUUUCUAAAGGCAAUUUUAAUUUUGAGCAGCACGAAAGAUAUAGUUGAGAAAAAUUGAUUCUCUUAUUAUAUAUAUUUCAGUAUACAAAGGUUUAUAUAGGCUACAUUUUGGUCUGAGGGAAACAACCCAAAACAAGGGAGUAAACAGAAACUUUGAAAAAUUUUAGAGAGUCAGGUGCAGGUAUAGAACUAAACAACUAAAUCCUUGUGAUAUAACUUACUGACCAGACUGGUUACCUCAACAGUGUUAUGCAAGAUGCACAGUAAUGAAGUUCUCAGAGUAAUCAUCAUUAGAUGGAAAAUUAAAUAACCAUCAAAAUUGAAAAUAUUUUGAGGUGGAAGAGCUAUUGGCAAUGCAUAUGAAAGGAAAAUUAUGAAAGAUAAAGAAAAAUCAAUUAACAGUCACUAUAAGCUAGAUGUAAUAUUAACAAGGAGAAGAAGGAAUUUAAUGAGAUAAAGAGUGUGUCAGUUAAUGUAUUCAGUGACAUUUCCACACUGAUUAAAAAAAAAAAAGAAAGAAAAUACCUGAAAAUACCGGAAAAGGUAGGUAUAAUUUUUGACAUGGAUAUUAAAGUCUUUUAAAAGUACCGUUUUUAAUAUUCACAAAAUAAAAGAAGGAAAAGGUCACUCAGUUCUCCUGCCAGUUCAGGCAGAGACACUUUCCAAGAUUUUCAACAUUUCUCUUCCUGUAUAGUUUCAAGUGCUUCAGGCAAUGAGAGUACCACCACCUCUCUUUAGAAACUGUAGCUUCAUACAUCUCACUGUCAGAGAACAAUUUCUUAUAUUCUGUUUAAAUAUUUUUUGUCUUAAUUUCAUUCAAUUUCUCAUUAUUAUUACACCAUUUACUACCAUAAAUAAUUACAUUCUCUCAAUUUGUGCAACCUCAAUUAAUGCAACUGUCCUUUCCUCUAAUUUGUCAACAGCUUUCUGGUAAAAUGAUAUCCACAAAUGAACUCAAUGUUGUGGACAUAACAUAGUGAUAUGCCUACACCAACUGCAUUUCAAUAGAGGGGUAUGGGAGCUGACUCUAAGGGGGUACUGAGAGCUUUCUUAAAUAUCAUUUGCUUUUUCCUAACCUUGCUCAGAAAUGAUCUGUGUUAGUGUGUGAGAAGCAUGGUGCUAAAAAAGCCAUAGUGCUUUGGAGUGGUCUCUUAGUGGAGCACUGCGCUGACAUGUCCUAGAGGUAUGGAGAUAAGCAGGCAGGUUAGACUUGCAAGAAAGGCAGUUCCACACAUUGACUCAGAAUCUAAGUUUCAGGUGUUCACUGAAAUAAAAGCCUCAAGUUAAAAAUCUAUGUUUUCACAAACAACAACAAAGACACAAAAUCAGAUAAUAAACCAGCAUGCUCAUUUUUUAUUACUAUUAUACAAUAUACACUGCUUAUCCAUUCAGUCUCAUAGAAAAGAGCUUUUCCUAGAUUUUGCCUUUCCAAUGCUUUCAAAACCAAAUAACUGAGCUUUCUCUAUCAAAAGGAGGCUAGAAACAACAUAACCUUGUUUAUAACUUUUAACUUUUUGUGGUUAUAAUAUUUGCCGGAUAUGAAUGAUCAAUGAAGUUCAUUUUCCCACCACAGCCCUCGCAGUGCCGUGCUUUGCACUGGCAGCUGGAAAGGUGCUGAUAACACCCCAGUGUUUGGGUACUGCUGGGCAGGGCUGGCACAGCAUCAGCACUGUCUCUCAACGUUUCCCCAUCAAGGGGCUGGUGGUGGGCAAGAUCCUGGAAGGGGACCAGCUGACCCAAACUGACCAGAGGCGUGUCCCAUAGCAUAUGGCAUCAGCUCAGAUAUGAAAGCUAAGUGGGAGGCAUUCAUUAAUUACAAUGUUUGCCUUCCAAAAUAACAUCUACGUGUGCUGUAGCCCUGCUUCCCAGGAAGUAGCUGAACAUUGCCCGCUGAUGGGAAGUAGAGAAUAAACCUAUUUGUUUUUAUGUUUGCACCCAAACUUUUGCUUCUGUGGUAGUAAACUGCCUUAUCUCAGCCAUGAGUUGUUUUUCCAUCUUAUUUUCUCUCCCCUGUCCUACAGGGACAGGGAGCAAUAGAACAACUUGGUGGGCACCUGGAAUCUGGCCAAGGUCAACCAACCACACUGCUUUAUCAGCAGGACAUCAUUCUUGAAGAGCAACAAAGAGAACUUUCCCACAUUUUCCUCCUGACUCUUUUUUCUUUUGAGUGGAAAAAAAGCUCAACUCUGAUUCCUGAUUCUGCAGGCCUUUUUGGUUAUUCUAGCUCCAGUCAAGAAAAAAAGAGAAAUCCCACAAAGUAUAUAAGGAUAAUUUUGGAAUGUGUUUAACUGAGGAAUUAGCUUGUAUUUUGUUUUUCAUUAUGAAGAAAGCAUAUUCUUCAGUAAAACAACAAAAAAAAAUCAAUUAAAAAUAUCUAACAAAUUUUAGAAUAACUCCCAUCUCCCAGACUAUAGGCAACAGAUUACAAUUGAAGAGUUGCUUGAGUGCAUGGUGAAGCAGGAGGCAUCAGAUGGAAACCCUUUAUUGAUAAAAUGAGAAAAGUAUUUCAGGAAAUAGAUAAAAAAUAUAAAAGAAUAGGCAAGGGACGAGUUCAAAAAGACAAAGGAAAAUGUGUGCAACCCAAAGCAGAAUAAUCAUCUAGAGGGUCACCAACGUCACAAUAAUAUAUUUUAAAAUAGCCUGCAGACAGUGCAUAAAAGGCACUAUAAGCAUUCAAAACAAACUGAAAGGCGUAUUUCACAAAAAGAAGUUGAGUUUGAAAGCACAGGCUCUGGAGUUCCCUGUACCACUGUGACCUUCUAUUAUCCAAUGUUCAACAUUUUCUCAGCUGUCAUACCCAUAAUAAUCUGCUGCCCAAAGCCUGGAGGAUGUGAGUAAAAGCAAAAAACUCCCACUUCAGUUCACCAGAUAGCAUCAUAUUCCUACUAAUGUUUUAACCCAGAGCAUCCUCACAGUGAACCUGCAGUGUUCAAAUUACUUUAUGCGAUUACUUGAUCUGUGCAGGCAUGGACAGCUAAGUGAUUUCUCAUUUCCUCACUCUCAAAACAUCUCUUUGGCUGGAUUUUUGGGGUUUACACUCUGGGUGUUUUCCCUUGGUUUUGUAUUUUUAACAGACUUUUCUGUAAUAACAGAAGUUACCUCCAUACUUGCAGGCCUGCCUUACACACAGCUAAAAGGAAUAAGGCCAGAAAGAACUGGCUAACAUAUCACAGACCAAGAAAAUUAAAAAAUAAGUAAAAAAAAAAAAAAAAAAAAAAAAAAUUCGAAUUAGUAUGAACAGUGAAAAAAAACCCGAAGAAAUAAUGCCAUGGAUGGUUAACCAGGCAGCUGAAACUAUAUAAAAUUUGGGGAAAAAACUUUUCUGCUGAAAAAUAUAUAUAAAUAUUUGCCCCAAAUAAGGGAUGAGAAAGUUAAUUAACUAAAAUACUAAAACCAUAGGAUAAAUUCCCAGGCAGUUUCCUUGGAAACAAAAUUAAAUCAGCAAAUUCAGAUUAUAUUAAUAUUAAUAAGAAAAAGUAUUUUGCAUAUUGUUUUCAUAGAAAAGCAUUAAAAAAAGUAUAAUUUCACUAGACAGUAGGAAAACAUAUUACCAUAAUGCUUGAUAAAACAUGAAGGUAUACAACAGGUCACCAGAUAAUUUUGAUUGUGUAUUUCUGCAUAAUAGAAACCUUUGUGAUUAAAGAGGACUCCUUAUUUGCUUACAGUUCCCUGCAUGCUUAGGUUCUUUGCUGGAGCCGGUCUAGGUUUCUCAGUUAUUAUCUUCAGCUACUUGUCCUGAAGAAAAAAGUCGCACAUAUGUGAACCAGUGAGUCCCUGGUGAGACCCUGAUGGAGAACAUCUGGUCAACAGAGGGGAUACUAUGACUAGUCUAUCGUAAGAGAAAGGCCUGAAUCCACCCCAUAAAUAGUGAGUCAUAGUUGCCUGCUGACUAGAUACCAGAUUUUUUAAAUAUUCUUGGUCCAGACACUCAGGUCUGGUUAGAGGAGAAAGGUCAAUAACCUGCAAACGUGCAAACAGUGAAAUCAUUUAAAUACUUAUGUCAGCAGCUGGGAAGUCAAGCAAACAGUUUAAUCACGGCUUGGUGGUCUGGCAGGGAGAUAACCAUGCAUUAAAUACCUGCUUCACAUGUCAAUCACCAGAGUAUAAUUUCUCACUCAGAAGUUGCAUUACCUCUUUUUAAACUGCUAUAACACACCUUAAGCUUAAAGCACUCAAUAGCUAUGUUGAGUUAUGGACUUGUGCAGGGCACAUGUUUGUCAAGGAAAACAACAUGUAUAUUUUGUUUAUGCUUUAUUGUUUUCUGCUUAGAGCCAUAUAUACAAUUUUUUCUCAUGGAUUUCUCAAAAAGAUUUGGUUACUUAAAAUGUCUACUGAAAUAAUGCAUUGAGAGGUUCUCAGGUUUAUUUUCUCUUUACAAUACUUUGUUUAACUAAUUUAUUUUGAUUUCCCUGACAGCAAAACACUAUUUUGGCCCUGAAAAAUGCAUUGCAACCUGUACAGGCUUCUUUUAUUUAUGUUGACUUACACUGUGCUAUCUAUAAAUAUUUUAAAAGAUGAAGUAGGUGGAUUACAGCCCACCCACUCUUUCUUUUUUUUCUUUUUCUCAGACACGCACACAUUUAAAAUUGCACGAAUGUCUGUUGAGUGAGGCUUGAAAGUCUCCCUGGAUCUCUAUUUCCUAUUCAGAAGAAGCAGAGAAAAGUCAGAAGCAAGCCUAUCUGUGUAACCAUGACAACAAGUACUUGUAUAUAAUGCUUAUCUAUAUAGUAUAGUUUCUGAUUCCUUCAAGAGUUCACGCAGCCAUAGGCUGAAUUCUUUGGUAAGCUAUCUGAGCCAUGUCAAAUGGUUCAGUGGAAUCACAUUAGUAUUGCUGGGCACUGUAAACACUUUGCACUCAAGAAUGAAUGAGAAAAUAUGCUGAAUGGUGGAACAGAGACAGGCCUGGGUCUGGAAGGUGAAAGAAAGAAAAAAAAAAAUAUGUGUCAGUAAUUUUCCAGUGAUUAAUAUUUGACAGAUUGAUUUGGAGUUGCUAAGAGAGAUCUUCAAUUGCUAUUCCACAUCAAAUUAGUGGCUAGCAGAUAAUAUAUAUGGAUUUUUGGAGAACUGGGAUUUUGUAGACUAGCAGACAGAGAGAGGCAUUAUGCCAGCUGAGUGUAAAAGGCUAGUUGAUCAAUAAUUAAAAGAAACAUCUUGAGUUGAGGUUAGCAUUAAGUUAUUUGAGGAAUGAAGAAUUCUCUGGUUUGCAACCUUCAUUCUUUUUUCUUUUUCCAAAUAAGUAGUUUAUUGUUUUGUGUAAAACAUGUAUGAAUUAUUGUAAGAUUGUUGGAAUAAUACAUAAAAUUACCAAUGUUUGCAACCUCAGAGGUUAUUCUGCCUUUAACAUUGUUAAAAUUUAUCAUUAUUACAGAGAAAAUAUUAUGCUCCUUUUACAUAUAGAUAUUUUUUCUUAAUUAAACAUUUAUGUUAUUUUAUAAUCUAACAUGUUACCAAUAUCCUCAUAGCUCCUUGUCUGGUACUUGGGGAUGGUCUCCAAAACUAUGCCUACUUCAAAUUUCAGGUGCUGGGAUUUUUAAGCAGUUAGAAGUCUGCCCUCAUACUCUCAUAAAAAUGUCAAAGAAUAAAAUACAAUAAAAAAUAGGACUUUUCAUUA